Molecule: long non-coding RNA, 536 nt
Organism: Capsicum annuum
Lineage: Eukaryota; Viridiplantae; Streptophyta; Magnoliopsida; Solanales; Solanaceae
Exons: 3
Source: RefSeq, a predicted model, not a curated record
AUUUUCUUUCUUCUUCAUAAUUACCACAUUACAAGAUAGUAUAAAGUUCAUAUAUAUAGUGCUAAGUACAACCAAAGCAACACAAGGAACAACCAUCAAUGACAACAUCAAAAAGAGUUGCAGAGAGGAAAGUGUCCAAGUUUGAAAAAAAUAUUACAAAAAGGGGAAUAUUGCAAAACCAAAAAGGCAACAAAGGAAUUGAUCCAAUUCAUAUUUUUCUUGUCCUUUUUGCUGUUUUAUUCAUUGGAUCUUUUAUUUUCCAGGUUGUGAGGAUGGCACUUAAUGGUGGAUUGCUACCAAGGUAGAUGGAAUAUAUGGAAUACAUAAAUAAAACCAAAUUCCAACUUUUCGACUUCUGUUUCAAUUUACGUGUCUUACUUUUUUUUUUAAUAUAUUUUUAAUAAAAAUAUCGUCUUUCUAUUCAAUAACUUUUGGAUUUCGCUGUUUUUAUUUUACCUUUAAUGGCACAGUCCCUUAUAUAAAACUGACAUGACAUGUAUACGACCACUAAAUUCGAGCGAUAUUUUUGGUGUGUU